UAGGGAAUCUUCGGCAAUGGGGGGAACCCUGACCGAGCAACGCCGCGUGAGUGAAGAAGGUUUUCGGAUCGUAAAGCUCUGUUGUUAAGGAAGAACGAGUGUGAGAAUGGAAAGUUCAUGCUGUGACGGUACUUAACCAGAAAGGGACGGCUAACUACGUGCCAGCAGCCGCGGUAAUACGUAGGUCCCGAGCGUUGUCCGGAUUUAUUGGGCGUAAAGCGAGCGCAGGCGGUUAGAAAAGUCUGAAGUGAAAGGCAGUGGCUCAACCAUUGUAGGCUUUGGAAACUGUUUAACUUGAGUGCAGAAGGGGAGAGUGGAAUUCCAUGUGUAGCGGUGAAAUGCGUAGAUAGAUGGAGGAACACCGGUGGCGAAAGCGGCUCUCUGGUCUGUAACUGACGCGGAGGCUCGAAAGCGUGGGGAGCGAACAGG
Molecule: ribosomal RNA, 429 nt
Filed under: Bacteroidota bacterium
Lineage: Bacteria; Pseudomonadati; Bacteroidota
Description: Bacteroidetes bacterium partial 16S ribosomal RNA
Rfam family: Bacterial small subunit ribosomal RNA
Source: RNAcentral